Molecule: ribosomal RNA, 326 nt
Filed under: uncultured bacterium
Lineage: Bacteria
Description: bacterial SSU rRNA
Rfam family: Bacterial small subunit ribosomal RNA
Source: RNAcentral
CCUAACACAUGCAAGUCGAACGGUAACAGGAAGAAGCUUGCUUCUUUGCUGACGAGUGGCGGACGGGUGAGUAAUGUCUGGGAAGCUGCCUGAUGGAGGGGGAUAACUACUGGAAACGGUAGCUAAUACCGCAUAAUGUCGCAAGACCAAAGAGGGGGACCUUCGGGCCUCUUGCCAUCGGAUGUGCCCAGAUGGGAUUAGCUUGUUGGUGGGGUAACGGCUCACCAAGGCGACGAUCCCUAGCUGGUCUGAGAGGAUGACCAGCCACACUGGAACUGAGACACGGUCCAGACUCCUACGGGAGGCAGCAGUGGGGAAUAUUGCAC